UACGUAGGGGCGAGCGUUGUCCGGAGUUACUGGGCGUAAAGAGCGUGUAGGCGGUUGAAAAGUACAGGCGUGAAAUUCUUCGGCUCAACCGGGGGACGUGCGCCUGAAACUUUUCGACUGGAGUUCGGGAGGGGCAACUGGAAUUCCUGGUGUAGGAGUGAAAUCCGUAGAUAUCAGGAGGAACACCGGUGGCGAAGGCGGCUGCCUGGACCGAUAUUGACGCUGAGACGCGAAAGCGUGGGUAGC
Molecule: ribosomal RNA, 246 nt
Filed under: uncultured bacterium
Lineage: Bacteria
Description: partial 16S ribosomal RNA
Rfam family: Bacterial small subunit ribosomal RNA
Source: RNAcentral